This 548-nucleotide ribosomal RNA is filed under the name Salmonella enterica. Its description in RNAcentral is "partial 16S ribosomal RNA". It matches the Rfam family "Bacterial small subunit ribosomal RNA", at positions 997 to 1533 of the family's 1533-position model. RNAcentral also lists the same sequence under 1 other name. The record is from RNAcentral. Lineage: Bacteria; Pseudomonadati; Pseudomonadota; Gammaproteobacteria; Enterobacterales; Enterobacteriaceae.
UUUUCAGAGAUGAGAAUGUGCCUUCGGGAACCGUGAGACAGGUGCUGCAUGGCUGUCGUCAGCUCGUGUUGUGAAAUGUUGGGUUAAGUCCCGCAACGAGCGCAACCCUUAUCCUUUGUUGCCAGCGAUUCGGUCGGGAACUCAAAGGAGACUGCCAGUGAUAAACUGGAGGAAGGUGGGGAUGACGUCAAGUCAUCAUGGCCCUUACGACCAGGGCUACACACGUGCUACAAUGGCGCAUACAAAGAGAAGCGACCUCGCGAGAGCAAGCGGACCUCAUAAAGUGCGUCGUAGUCCGGAUUGGAGUCUGCAACUCGACUCCAUGAAGUCGGAAUCGCUAGUAAUCGUGGAUCAGAAUGCCACGGUGAAUACGUUCCCGGGCCUUGUACACACCGCCCGUCACACCAUGGGAGUGGGUUGCAAAAGAAGUAGGUAGCUUAACCUUCGGGAGGGCGCUUACCACUUUGUGAUUCAUGACUGGGGUGAAGUCGUAACAAGGUAACCGUAGGGGAACCUGCGGUUGGAUCACCUCCUUACCUGAAAGAAGC